UGGGGAAUUUUGGACAAUGGGCGCAAGCCUGAUCCAGCCAUUCCGCGUGCAGGACGAAGGCCUUCGGGUUGUAAACUGCUUUUGUACGGAACGAAAAGCCCUUCUCUAAUACAGAGGGGUCAUGACGGUACCGUAAGAAUAAGCACCGGCUAACUGCGUGCCAGCAGCCGCGGUAAUACGUAGGGUGCAAGCGUUAAUCGGAAUUACUGGGCGUAAAGCGUGCGCAGGCGGUUAUGCAAGACAGAUGUGAAAUCCCCGGGCUCAACCUGGGAACUGCAUUUGUGACUGCAUAGCUGGAGAGCGGCAGAGGGGGAUGGAAUUCCGCGUGUAUCAGUUAAAUGCGUAGAUAUGGUGAGGAACACCGAUGGCGAAGGCAAUCACUUGGGCCUGCACUGACGCUCAUGCACGAAAGCGGGGGGAGGAAACA
RNAcentral lists this ribosomal RNA (427 nucleotides) under uncultured bacterium. Its description in RNAcentral is "bacterial SSU rRNA". It matches the Rfam family "Bacterial small subunit ribosomal RNA", at positions 355 to 774 of the family's 1533-position model. The record is from RNAcentral.